AUUGAACGCUGGCGGCAGGCCUAACACAUGCAAGUCGAGCGGAUGAAGGGAGCUUGCUCCUGGAUUCAGCGGCGGACGGGUGAGUAAUGCCUAGGAAUCUGCCUGGUAGUGGGGGAUAACGUCCGGAAACGGGCGCUAAUACCGCAUACGUCCUGAGGGAGAAAGUGGGGGAUCUUCGGACCUCACGCUAUCAGAUGAGCCUAGGUCGGAUUAGCUAGUUGGUGGGGUAAAGGCCUACCAAGGCGACGAUCCGUAACUGGUCUGAGAGGAUGAUCAGUCACCUGGGAACGUGGACAGGGUCCAGGGUCCUACGGGAGGCAGCAGUGGGGAAUAUUGGACAAUGGGCGAAAGCCUGAUCCAGCCAUGCCGCGUGUGUGAAGAAGGUCUUCGGAUUGUAAAGCACUUUAAGUUGGGAGGAAGGGCAGUAAGUUAAUACCUUGCUGUUUUGACGUUACCAACAGAAUAAGCACCGGCUAACUUCGUG
Molecule: ribosomal RNA, 484 nt
Filed under: uncultured bacterium
Lineage: Bacteria
Description: partial 16S ribosomal RNA
Rfam family: Bacterial small subunit ribosomal RNA
Source: RNAcentral